UACGUAGGUGGCAAGCGUUGUCCGGAUUUACUGGGCGUAAAGAGCGCGCAGGCGGUCGUUUAAGUCGAAUGUGAAAGCCCCGGCUCAACUGGGGAGGGUCAUUCGAUACUGAUCGACUUGAAGGCAGGAGAGAGAAGUGGAAUUCCCGGUGUAGUGGUGAAUGCGUAGAUAUCGGGAGGAACACAGUGGCGAAGGCGACUCUUGGCCUGUUCUUGACGCUGAGGCGCGAAAGCUGGGGAGCAAACGGG
RNAcentral lists this ribosomal RNA (248 nucleotides) under uncultured bacterium. Its description in RNAcentral is "partial 16S ribosomal RNA". It matches the Rfam family "Bacterial small subunit ribosomal RNA", at positions 524 to 776 of the family's 1533-position model. The record is from RNAcentral.